Molecule: long non-coding RNA, 500 nt
Organism: Diabrotica virgifera virgifera (western corn rootworm)
Lineage: Eukaryota; Metazoa; Arthropoda; Insecta; Coleoptera; Chrysomelidae
Exons: 2
Source: RefSeq, a predicted model, not a curated record
AAUAUGGUUUAUUCCUUCAGUAAGGUCCAAUCACCACGAAAUUAAAGGAACCCUAUCUUUCACAAAUGGCAUGAGCAUUAGCCAAAUGUUAUGUUCUUGUAAAGCAGAAAAUAGUGGAAAAUGUAAACAUGUCUCUACUCUUGUUAAAUGUAAGUAUAAGGGAAAAUGUGAAAUUAAUGGAACAUUCAGUACAUGAGUUGAAAAAAUGUUAACAGAUUGGCAAAUGAAGACCAUUUUUAAUUGAUCUAAACAUUUAUAGAAAACAAAGUAUAUGGUUAAUAUAAAUAUUACCUGCCUGAAGUAACUUGGUGUACAAAUCAAUAGUAACCAUAAUUUUUAUUCCCAGGGCCAGUGAGAAACAAUGUGCAUUUGAUUUCUAAGUGUUCUAAGGAAAGAUCUCGUAAGAAUAAAUAGAUCUGUACAAUGAAGAUUAACCUAAUCUGUUUAACCAUCGAAAUUAUUGUAUUGUUAUAAAAAUAAUAAAUCUCCAUUUCAUAUUA